GAUGACCUUUUACUACAUGGAUAACCGUGGUAAUUCUAGAGCUAAUACAUGCGCCAAAACCCGACUUUUAGGAAGGGUGGUAUUUAUUAGAUAAAGAACCAAUACCAUGUUCUGCAUGGUUUUUUGGUGAUUCAUAAUAACUGAUCGAAUCGCAGGCUUUGCCGGCGAUGGAUCAUUCAAGUUUCUGACCUAUCAGCUUCCGACGGUAGGGUAUUGGCCUACCGUGGCAUUGACGGGUAACGGGGAAUUAGGGUUCGAUUCCGGAGAGGGAGCCUGAGAAACGGCUACCACAUCUAAGGAAGGCAGCAGGCGCGCAAAUUACCCAAUCCUGACACAGGGAGGUAGUGACAAGAAAUAACGAUACAGGGCUAUAUGUCUUGUAAUUGGAAUGAGUAGAAUCUAAACCCCUUUACGAGUACCAAUUGGAGGGCAAGUCUGGUGCCAGCAGCCGCGGUAAUUCCAGCUCCAAUAGCGUAUAUUAAAGUUGUUGCAGUUAAAAAGCUCGUAGUUGGAUUUCUGCAAAAGGCAUUCGGUCCGCUCCUAUGGAGUGUGCACUCGUUUUGACUUUUGCAUCCUUCUGGGGAACACUUCGGUGGAAUCCAGAUCUUUUACUUUGAGAAAAUUAGAGUGUUUCAAGCAGGCUUUUGCCUUGAAUACUGCAGCAUGGAAUAAUAAUAUAGGACUUAAGUUCUAUUUUGUUGGUUUCUAGGACUUGAGUAAUGAUUAAUAGGGACAGUUGGGGGCAUUCGUAUUUAACUGUCAGAGGUGAAAUUCUUAGAUUUGUUAAAGACGAACUACUGCGAAAGCAUUUGCCAAGGAUGUUUUCAUUAAUCAAGAACGAAAGUUAGGGGAUCGAAGACGAUCAGAUACCGUCGUAGUCUUAACCAUAAACUAUGCCGACUAGAGAUUGGAGGUCGUCUCCUUAUGACUCCUUCAGCAACUUAUGAGAAUCAAAGUCUUUGGGUU
RNAcentral lists this ribosomal RNA (966 nucleotides) under uncultured eukaryote. RNAcentral's name for it is "bacterial SSU rRNA". It matches the Rfam family "Eukaryotic small subunit ribosomal RNA", at positions 123 to 1113 of the family's 1831-position model. The record is from RNAcentral.